RNAcentral lists this ribosomal RNA (625 nucleotides) under Grosmannia aurea. Its description in RNAcentral is "eukaryotic LSU rRNA". It matches the Rfam family "Eukaryotic large subunit ribosomal RNA", at positions 1 to 645 of the family's 3401-position model. Lineage: Eukaryota; Fungi; Ascomycota; Sordariomycetes; Ophiostomatales; Ophiostomataceae. The record is from RNAcentral. RNAcentral also lists the same sequence under 2 other names.
UUGACCUCGGAUCAGGUAGGACUACCCGCUGAACUUAAGCAUAUCAAUAAGCGGAGGAAAAGAAACCAACAGGGAUUGCCCCAGUAACGGCGAGUGAAGCGGCAACAGCUCAGAUUUGGAAUCUGGCCCCCAGGGCCCGAGUUGUAAUCUGGAGAGGAUGCUUCUGGCGCGGCGCCUUCCGAGUUCCCUGGAACGGGACGCCGGAGAGGGUGAGAGCCCCGUACGGUUGGACGCCUAGCCUUUGUGAAGCUCCUUCGACGAGUCGAGUAGUUUGGGAAUGCUGCUCAAAAUGGGAGGUAAAUUUCUUCUAAAGCUAAAUACCGGCCAGAGACCGAUAGCGCACAAGUAGAGUGAUCGAAAGAUGAAAAGCACUUUGAAAAGAGGGUCAAACAGUACGUGAAAUUGUUGAAAGGGAAGCGCCCGUGGCCAGACUUGUGCCCCGCGGACCACCCGGCGCCCUCAGCGCCGGUGCACUCCGCGGGGCGCAGGCCAGCAUCGGUUUUCCUAGGGGGAUAAAGGCGGCGGGAACGUGGCUCCCUCGGGAGUGUUAUAGCCCGCCGCGCCAUGCCCCUGGGGGGACCGAGGACCGCGCUUCGGCAAGGAUGCUGGCGUAAUGGCCACCGGC